Molecule: ribosomal RNA, 301 nt
Filed under: uncultured bacterium
Lineage: Bacteria
Description: partial 16S ribosomal RNA
Rfam family: Bacterial small subunit ribosomal RNA
Source: RNAcentral
CAGUCGCCGCGGGAACACGGAGGGGGCUAGCGUUGUUCGGAAUUACUGGGCGUAAAGCGCACGUAGGCGGCUUGGUAAGUUAGAGGUGAAAGCCCGGAGCUCAACUCCGGAAUUGCCUUUAAGACUGCCGAGCUAGUAGGUGAGAGAGGCGAGUGGAAUUCCGAGUGUAGAGGUGAAAUUCGUAGAUUUUCGGAAGAACACCGAUGGCGAAGGCAGCCCCCUGGGCCAACACUGACGCUCAUGCACGAAAGCGUGGGGAGCAAACAGGAUUAGAUACCCCCGUAGUCCCUGUCUCUUAUAC